RNAcentral lists this ribosomal RNA (366 nucleotides) under uncultured bacterium. RNAcentral's name for it is "bacterial SSU rRNA". It matches the Rfam family "Bacterial small subunit ribosomal RNA", at positions 1017 to 1385 of the family's 1533-position model. The record is from RNAcentral.
CCCUUCGGGGCAGGAAGACAGGUGGUGCAUGGUUGUCGUCAGCUCGUGUCGUGAGAUGUUGGGUUAAGUCCCGCAACGAGCGCAACCCUUAUUGUUAGUUGCUACCAUUUAGUUGAGCACUCUAGCGAGACUGCCCGGGUUAACCGGGAGGAAGGUGGGGAUGACGUCAAAUCAUCAUGCCCCUUAUGUCUAGGGCUACACACGUGCUACAAUGGUGAAUACAAAUAGAUGCAAUACCGCGAGGUGGAGCCAAACUAUAAAAUUCAUCCCAGUUCGGAUUGUAGUCUGAAACUCGACUACAUGAAGCCGGAGUUGCUAGUAAUCGCGAAUCAGCAUGUCGCGGUGAAUACGUUCCCGGGCCUUGUA